GGAGCAAACAGGAUUAGAUACCCUGGUAGUCCACGCUGUAAACGAUGAGUACUAGGUGUCGGGGGUUACCCCCCUCGGUGCCGCAGCUAACGCAUUAAGUACUCCGCCUGGGAAGUACGCUCGCAAGGGUGAAACUCAAAGGAAUUGACGGGGACCCGCACAAGUAGCGGAGCAUGUGGUUUAAUUCGAAGCAACGCGAAG
This 201-nucleotide ribosomal RNA is filed under the name Clostridioides difficile. RNAcentral's name for it is "partial 16S ribosomal RNA". It matches the Rfam family "Bacterial small subunit ribosomal RNA", at positions 765 to 966 of the family's 1533-position model. The record is from RNAcentral. Lineage: Bacteria; Bacillati; Bacillota; Clostridia; Peptostreptococcales; Peptostreptococcaceae.